UACGAAGGGUGCAAACGUUGCUCGGAAUUAUUGGGCGUAAAGCGCACGUAGGCGGCUUUCUAAGUCAGGGGUGAAAUCCUGGAGCUCAACUCCAGAACUGCCUUUGAUACUGGAGAGCUUGAGUCCGGAAGAGGUGAGUGGAACUCCGAGUGUAGAGGUGAAAUUCGUAGAUAUUCGGAAGAACACCAGUGGCGAAGGCGGCUCACUGGUCCGGUACUGACGCUGAGGUGCGAAAGCGUGGGGAGCAAACAGG
RNAcentral lists this ribosomal RNA (253 nucleotides) under uncultured bacterium. Its description in RNAcentral is "partial 16S ribosomal RNA". It matches the Rfam family "Bacterial small subunit ribosomal RNA", at positions 524 to 776 of the family's 1533-position model. The record is from RNAcentral.